UUAAGAGUUGAUUAUCUGCAGCUGUGGCACCUGAUGAUUGGUCUAUUUAAGCCUCAGAUGUUGGUUACACCUUCAGCUGUGACAAGAACCAUGGGAGGUGUUUGGAUUCUGAUCUUAUGCACAGUGACUUUUUGGCAUAAAGGCUCUUGCUUGCCACUUGAUCAAAAUGGAGGCACACAAUCUAAAGAACAGAGGACAAACUUCUGGUCACCAAAUGAAGUUCCUCUGAAGAGGACCAUUACUUCACUCCAGUUACUGGAAUCCAGGUUGAGGCAAACGCCAAAAAAAGUUCAACUGGACACCAAUGAAGUGGAAUUCCUUGGUGACGCCGCCCACAAUGUGUCAAGUGACGCCGCCCACAAUGUGUCAAGUGACGCCGCCCACAAUGUGUCAAGUGACGCCGCCCA
Molecule: long non-coding RNA, 407 nt
Organism: Fundulus heteroclitus (mummichog)
Lineage: Eukaryota; Metazoa; Chordata; Actinopteri; Cyprinodontiformes; Fundulidae
Exons: 4
Source: RefSeq, a predicted model, not a curated record